Molecule: RNA transcript, 1608 nt
Organism: Sorghum bicolor (sorghum)
Lineage: Eukaryota; Viridiplantae; Streptophyta; Magnoliopsida; Poales; Poaceae
Gene name: ATG8-interacting protein 1
Exons: 4
Source: RefSeq, a predicted model, not a curated record
UGGAAAGAAAACGUCUCCGCACGCAACGCCCACAAUGUCAUUUGGAUUUGGAUUGCUUUCCCCACCCCACCUCCGUCUCUUGCCGACCUCCGCGACUCCACCUGAGAGGAGAGGAGAGGAGAGGAGAGCAAGCAACCGCCCCCGUCCCCUCCCUCCUCGCUGGGAAGAUGGAGCCUGGCCAGAGCGGUACUGAGCAGACCUCUCCACGCGGGACUGAUUGGGAAGUCGUGCAACUGACUGCAUCAGCAUACGCGGCCGCGCCUGCUCCGAGGAGACCUGAACCUUCCGAGGAAUCCGAAGCUAAGAAAUAUGGCGCAAAAGGGGACGAUUUAGCCGCUGGGCUACUCAUGUCUGGCCACUUCUCGGUGUCUCAGAGUGAAGUUGAAAGCCUCCUUGUAGGCGCUGACAGCAAAGAACCUCCCAAGGAGCUUAGCAGCCCAGAUGCAGUUUCCAAUGAGGGGGAUGGUGAGAAAUACCAAGAAACCUGCAAGCAUAAGCUGGAGGAUGACGUCCCCAGCAUUCCAUCCUUCGACAAAGGGAAGGAUGUUUCCUUGGGUGAUAUGGCGUUUGAUGAUGGCAAGGCAUUGAAAGGCAUGAGUUUGGUCGGGGAAGAACCGGUUGGGUUCUCGUCGCCUAUUUACAGCUCAAUUGAGGCUGAAAAUGAGUUAAGUUGGUCAGCUACAGAGAGUAGGAAUGAUAAGAAAACUGAGGAGCCUACUCUGCAUAACUUGAGCCCCAUAACCGGUUCAUCAAAGGUUGUUCCAUCUGAUGAGCAGAGCGAACCUGCUGGUUCAGGCCCACGUGAAGCAUGGUGGAAGCAGCAGCUUUUGUCCCUGUACAAGAAUGCAAAGGAAAGUAAUAAUUUCUGGCCUAUUGUCGCGACCGCUGCUGCCUUGGUGGGCCUGGCAUAUUUUGGGCGGCGCUGGCAUAAGGGCAAGCUGCAGUUUCAGCUGGUCAAAGUACCGCCUUCUAGCAACAAGGAGUUGCACUUGCCAGCAAUGAGAAUUUCACUACAAAUGGGCAUCUUGCAUGCUGCAGCUCCAGAAUUUUGGAAUGUGUGGAUUGUCUGAACUCUGAAGUCCUGCCUUAUCUGUUUACUAGCAAGCUCGAGUAUCUGUUUACUGGCAUGCUAGUGUUUUGUGCCAUGAAAAUCAGUGAUGCUGUUGGUCCAUUAAACCGUAUCAAGGACAUUCUUGUUGCUGGCAGCCACCCAAGUCAGGGUAUCCAUGGGCAUGCCCGUGCAAGCUGAAUGUCAUCAGUCUGUGAUCCCAUCAGCAUCCUGAAUCCAUAAUGUAUCGCUUGAGAAUCGGCUCAAAAUGAAGACAAUCCAUAGGGCAAAACUGGAGCAAUGGUCCAAGGAUUGAGGAUGUUUAUGCAAACGCAAGUAUGUUUGGUGGCUAUGUAAAUUCCAAAAGUCCUUUUGGGUAUGUAAAUAUAUGAGUUUAGUGUGAUUGCUUUUCUUUUGGUCAUCUCAUGGAACCUCUGCUGGUUUCGUUGUUGCUAUCAACUACUGUACCCACCGUAUAACUGUCCGGUUCGCUCAUGCAUGCAUAUAUGAUAUGAAUAUAUGAUGGGGGCAUGGUAUGAGUGAAUUUUAUUUCACCUUUA